UUUCUGAUUUUAUGUUUAAUCCUUUUUUUAAUUCAUAUUAAUUUCAUUUUUAAUCCAAAAAAUAUGGGACUUUCACCAAAAUUAUUUAAAUAUUUUUCUCUUUCAUAUUUUGGAUUAAUUUUGAUAUUUUUCAUGAAUUAAAUGUUUUUGUGCAUAUUUUUAAUUGUUUAAAAAUACUUCUGACUUUUCAAAAAUCAUGAAGUUUUUUGUCUAAGGUCCUUUGACCUUGUUUGAUCUAUGAUAAAUCUCUUGUCCAUUUAUUUAGUGUUUUUG
Molecule: long non-coding RNA, 273 nt
Filed under: Lathyrus oleraceus (garden pea)
Lineage: Eukaryota; Viridiplantae; Streptophyta; Magnoliopsida; Fabales; Fabaceae
Description: Pisum sativum (pea) long non-coding RNA (PSAT_LNC011938)
Source: RNAcentral